CGGGGACCCGCACAAGCAGUGGAGUAUGUGGUUUAAUUCGAAGCAACGCGAAGAACCUUACCAGGUCUUGACAUCCCUCUGACCGGUCUAGAGAUAGGCCUUUCCUUCGGGACAGAGGAGACAGGUGGUGCAUGGUUGUCGUCAGCUCGUGUCGUGAGAUGUUGGGUUAAGUCCCGCAACGAGCGCAACCCUUAUGCUUAGUUGCCAGCAGGUCAAGCUGGGCACUCUAAGCAGACUGCCGGUGACAAACCGGAGGAAGGUGGGGAUGACGUCAAAUCAUCAUGCCCCUUAUGACCUGGGCUACACACGUACUACAAUGGCCGGUACAACGGGAAGCGAAGCCGCGAGGUGGAGCCAAUCCUAGAAAAGCCGGUCUCAGUUCGGAUUGUAGGCUGCAACUCGCCUACAUGAAGUCGGAAUUGCUAGUAAUCGCGGAUCAGCAUGCCGCGGUGAAUACGUUCCCGGGUCUUGUACACACCGCCCGUCACACCACGAGAGUUUACAACACCCGAAGUCGGUGAGGUAACCGCAAG
This 533-nucleotide ribosomal RNA is filed under the name Paenibacillus polymyxa. RNAcentral describes it as "bacterial SSU rRNA". It matches the Rfam family "Bacterial small subunit ribosomal RNA", at positions 914 to 1445 of the family's 1533-position model. Lineage: Bacteria; Bacillati; Bacillota; Bacilli; Caryophanales; Paenibacillaceae. The record is from RNAcentral.